AUUGAACGCUGGCGGCAUGCCUUACGCAUGCAAGUCGAACGGCAGCACGGGAGCAAUCCUGGUGGCGAGUGGCGAACGGGUGAGUAAUGUAUCGGAACGUGCCCAGUCGUGGGGGAUAACGUAGCGAAAGCUACGCUAAUACCGCAUACGAUCUGUGGAUGAAAGCGGGGGACCGUAAGGCCUCGCGCGAUUGGAGCGGCCGAUAUCAGAUUAGGUAGUUGGUGGGGUAAAGGCCUACCAAGCCGACGAUCUGUAGCUGGUCUGAGAGGACGAGCAGCCACACUGGGACUGAGACACGGCCCAGACUCCUACGGGAGGCAGAAGUGGGGAAUUUUGGACAAUGGGCGCAAGCCUGAUCCAGCAAUGCCGCGUGCAGGAUGAAGGCAUUCGGGUUGUAAACUGCUUUUGUACGGAGCGAAAAGGCUCUCUCUAAUACAGGGGGCUCAUGACGGUACCGUAAGAAUAAGCACCGGCUAACUACGUGCCAGCCGCCGCCGUAA
RNAcentral lists this ribosomal RNA (500 nucleotides) under uncultured bacterium. Its description in RNAcentral is "partial 16S ribosomal RNA". It matches the Rfam family "Bacterial small subunit ribosomal RNA", at positions 29 to 523 of the family's 1533-position model. The record is from RNAcentral.